GGAUCUGUAUUUUUGCACCCAAGAAAGCCUGGGGAGUCCAGGUGGGGUGGUGCUGGGCACUUGGCAGGUGCUGAACAUACACCUGUUGAAACUGACAGUGUGUAGGACAGUAAAGAGAAUAUGUUUUGGUCUCUGACUCCAGCACCGGGGCUUGAAAACACCAUUCAUUCAACUCUCAGUACAUAAUCAUGGAGCACAGUGUGUGGGCACGGCAUGGUGGCCAGUCAGCGUGGCAUGCUCAUUCCUGCCUGGAACUUGCAAUCAAGUUUAACCCUAUUUUUCUCCAGUGCAGACCUCACUUGUUGCAGAAGCAAGCCACAGCCUAUGAGGGUGUCACUCCGAGCAGAGGACACCAUGCGUGUCAUUGGAGACGCAGAAGCAAGGCUGACUGUCUCCAGGCAGUGGUCGGAGUAUCAGAGUAGCCGCAUUUGCAACCAGCCUCAGCUCCUCCGACUAUGUGAGACACUGUUUCCUCAGUAAAUAUAUUCACAACACUUCAGCACCCUGAUUUUUUAAAGGGCUCGUAUGAAUCACAGAAUGAGUCAUCCAUAAAGCGUGGAGACUUCUGGCAUGUCUGUGCAUGAAUUUGCACCUGAAAACCUCACCUGGGAAUUGUUUAACAGAAUUAACCUUUCAACCUCGAUGUGAGACUGAGCGAGGCGGUGGGGCGUGGGGGGUAAUGGUGCAGAGGCUGUUCUGGCCCGAUGGUGAUAUCCGUGCCAAGGCUCCGCAGAACGGGGAGAAGCAAGUCCUGUGGCCAUCAUCUCAACGAUCCAGGUAAAGGCCAAAAUUCUCAGCCGACAUGAAUCACACCUUAUAUUGUUGUUUCAAACCUGAUUUGGGAGUCAUCACUCGUGUUACCUGCACACGCCCUGCCUGGUUGCCGACACACCUCUCUAGCGCUUGCGCCCACGAGCACCGUACGUAGCAAGAGCUUCUGUUCUAUCCUCUGCCUUUCAACUCAGAACCACACUGGCCGUGUAUGAGCCACAGCGGUGGAAUCUCCUUUUAAGGACUCAGGAGAACAAAAGGUCUGAGUUAGACUUCGCACCUAGCGGUGAGCAUCGGGAGUUGAAUCUGCCAUUAUAGAGUCUGGAAAUCACGGGGCCGGGUCAGUGUUUACUACCUGGGUGAGAAGACGAGGACACUGCUCAUGAUUAUCAAUUAAACAGUACUGGAGAUUUAUAGCUUGUUGGAUGCCACAUUUAAUCCUCCUGAAAGAGUUGAUGGCUUCACAAUAAAUCUUUCAAAGCUC
Lemur catta (Ring-tailed lemur) is the source of this 1255-nucleotide long non-coding RNA. RefSeq lists it as uncharacterized. NCBI's taxonomy places the organism in Eukaryota, Metazoa, Chordata, Mammalia, Primates, Lemuridae. The record is from RefSeq and is a predicted model, not a curated record. The transcript is spliced from 3 exons.